This is a non-coding RNA of Schistosoma rodhaini, 38 nucleotides long. The record is from Rfam. Lineage: Eukaryota; Metazoa; Platyhelminthes; Trematoda; Strigeidida; Schistosomatidae.
UGCUGAGGAGUCCCAUAAUAGGAUGAAACGGCCGUCCA